UUUCGCGAUCCUUCUCACAGGUGACGCCUCGGAAGCCUUAGCAGCCCGAAAGGGUGAGCCACCGACGACUGAUAAAUAAAUAGGGGUUCUGAAAUGCUAGUCAGCGCAGCCAAACGUCUCUAGGCGUCGCUGGCAACACCGUCAAAUUGCGGGGAUCUCCUAAAGACUCUUGACACCAAGCAGCACUGGGAAACCAGGCUGUGGCCAGGGUAAUGACCUCGGGUAUGGUAACAGCGCAAGAGUAUGUCCGCCUAGUCGUUAGGCGGUAAAUGGAUAAUCCGCAGCCAAGUCCUACGGCCUCCUCCGGGGGGUACGGAUGCUGUUCACAGGCCAAAUGGUGGUGGGUGGACGCCCAGAAAACGGGCGCUUCUGCUUAAGAUAUGGUCGGGCCCCUAGGGAAACCUAGGGGAUAGUCACCGCACGGUCAAAAUGUAGGCGCCGAGUCCAGUGUUCAGGCUCGGUGUCACGGGCGGCCGUGCCCCCUUGAUAAAACAAGGACGAUUUCCAAAACGUUCCGUAGGUGAACCUGCGGAAGGAUCAUUA
This 543-nucleotide ribosomal RNA is filed under the name Exophiala bergeri. RNAcentral describes it as "partial 18S ribosomal RNA". The stretch from base 81 to 408 matches the Rfam family "Group I catalytic intron". Rfam says of the family: Group I catalytic introns are large self-splicing ribozymes. They catalyse their own excision from mRNA, tRNA and rRNA precursors in a wide range of organisms. Lineage: Eukaryota; Fungi; Ascomycota; Eurotiomycetes; Chaetothyriales; Herpotrichiellaceae. The record is from RNAcentral.